RNAcentral lists this transfer RNA (73 nucleotides) under Ursus americanus (American black bear). It matches the Rfam family "tRNA". From Rfam's summary of the family: Transfer RNA (tRNA) molecules are approximately 80 nucleotides in length. Their secondary structure includes four short double-helical elements and three loops (D, anti-codon, and T loops). Further hydrogen bonds mediate the characteristic L-shaped molecular structure. tRNAs have two regions of fundamental functional importance: the anti-codon, which is responsible for specific mRNA codon recognition, and the 3' end, to which the tRNAs corresponding amino acid is attached (by aminoacyl-tRNA synthetases). tRNAs cope with the degeneracy of the genetic code in two manners: having more than one tRNA (with a specific anti-codon) for a particular amino acid; and 'wobble' base-pairing, i.e. permitting non-standard base-pairing at the 3rd anti-codon position. RNAcentral also lists the same sequence under 1 other name. Lineage: Eukaryota; Metazoa; Chordata; Mammalia; Carnivora; Ursidae. The record is from Rfam by way of RNAcentral.
GCCUGGCUGGCUCAGUCAGUAGAGCAUGUGACUCUUGAUCUCAGGAUCAUGAGUUCUAGCCUCACGUUGGGUG